This 497-nucleotide ribosomal RNA is filed under the name uncultured bacterium. RNAcentral describes it as "partial 16S ribosomal RNA". It matches the Rfam family "Bacterial small subunit ribosomal RNA", at positions 28 to 507 of the family's 1533-position model. The record is from RNAcentral.
GAUGAACGCUGGCGGCGUGCCUAAUACAUGCAAGUCGAGCGAACGGACGAGAAGCUUGCUUCUCUGAUGUUAGCGGCGGACGGGUGAGUAACACGUGGAUAACCUACCUAUAAGACUGGGAUAACUUCGGGAAACCGGAGCUAAUACCGGAUGAUAUUUUGAACCGCAUGGUUCAAAAGUGAAAGACGGUCUUGCUGUCACUUAUAGAUGGAUCCGCGCUGCAUUAGCUAGUUGGUAAGGUAACGGCUUACCAAGGCAACGAUGCAUAGCCGACCUGAGAGAGUGAUCGGCCACACUGGAACUGAGACACGGUCCAGACUCCUACGGGAGGCAGCAGUAGGGAAUCUUCCGCAAUGGGCGAAAGCCUGACGGAGCAACGCCGCGUGAGUGAUGAUGGACUUCGGAUCGUAAAACUCUGUUAUUAGGGAAGAACAUAUGUGUAAGUAACUGUGCACAUCUUGACGGUACCUAAUCAGAAAGCCACGGCUAACUACGUG